UACGUAGGUGGCUAGCGUUGUCCGGAUUUACUGGGCGUAAAGCGCGCGCAGGCGGUCGUUCAAGUCGAGUGUGAAAGCCCCCGGCUCAACUGGGGAGGGUCACUCGAUACUGAUCGACUUGAAGGCAGAAGAGGGAAGCGGAAUUCCCGGUGUAGUGGUGAAAUGCGUAGAGAUCCGGAGGAACACCAGAGGCGAAGGCGGCAUUCUGGACGACAUCAGACGCUGAGACGCGACAGCACGGGGAGCGAACGGG
RNAcentral lists this ribosomal RNA (253 nucleotides) under uncultured bacterium. Its description in RNAcentral is "partial 16S ribosomal RNA". It matches the Rfam family "Bacterial small subunit ribosomal RNA", at positions 524 to 776 of the family's 1533-position model. The record is from RNAcentral.